Molecule: small nucleolar RNA, 124 nt
Filed under: Mandrillus leucophaeus (drill)
Lineage: Eukaryota; Metazoa; Chordata; Mammalia; Primates; Cercopithecidae
Description: Small nucleolar RNA SNORA63 (ENSMLEG00000012498.1)
Source: RNAcentral
AUGCAGGUACUGUUAAAACUGAAGUGUUUUAUGGUCUUUUCCUCCUGUUUAAAGCAUUUGGUACAUAAGUAUCUCUAACUCCACUCCAUAAUAAAACGGAGAUGCUUUAUUAUGUCCCCAACAU